Molecule: ribosomal RNA, 991 nt
Filed under: uncultured Rhodocyclaceae bacterium
Lineage: Bacteria; Pseudomonadati; Pseudomonadota; Betaproteobacteria; Rhodocyclales; Rhodocyclaceae
Description: bacterial SSU rRNA
Rfam family: Bacterial small subunit ribosomal RNA
Source: RNAcentral
CGGGAGUUGUCCUGGUGGCUUAUGGAGAACGGGUGAGUAAUAUAUCGGAACGUGCCCAGUCGUGGGGGAUAACUCUCCGAAAGGAGAGCUAAUACCGCAUACGUCCUGAGGGGGAAAGCGGGGGAUCGCAAGACCUCGCGCGAUUGGAGCGGCCGAUAUCGGAUUAGCUAGUUGGUGAGGUAAAGGCUCACCAAGGCGACGAUCCGUAGCGGGUCUGAGAGGACGGCCCGCCACACUGGAACUGAGACACGGUCCAGACUCCUACGGGAGGCAGCAGUGGGGAAUUUUGGACAAUGGGGGCAACCCUGAUCCAGCCAUUCCGCGUGAGUGAAGAAGGCCUUCGGGUUGUAAAGCUCUUUCAGCAGGAACGAAACGGUCGACUUUAAUAAAGUCGUCUAAUGACGGUACCUGCAGAAGAAGCACCGGCUAACUACGUGCCAGCAGCCGCGGUAAUACGUAGGGUGCGAGCGUUAAUCGGAAUUACUGGGCGUAAAGCGUGCGCAGGUGGCGACAUAAGACAGAUGUGAAAUCCCCGGGCUCAACCUGGGAACUGCGUUUGUGACUGUGUUGCUAGAGUGUAGCAGAGGGGGGGUGGAAUUCCACGUGUAGCAGUGAAAUGCGUAGAGAUGUGGAGGAACACCGAUGGCGAAGGCAGCCCCCUGGGUUAACACUGACGCUCAUGCACGAAAGCGUGGGGAGCAAACAGGAUUAGAUACCCUGGUAGUCCACGCCCUAAACGAUGCCUACUAGGUGUUGGGGGAGGAGACUUCCUUAGUACCGUAGCUAACGCGUGAAGUUGGCCGCCUGGGGAGUACGGUCGCAAGAUUAAAACUUAAAGGAAUUGAACGGGGACCCGCACAAGCGUUGGAUGAUGUGGAUUAAUUCGAUGCAACGCGAAAAACCUUACUUACCCUUACAUGUCCGAAAUCCUGAAGAGAUUUGGGAGGNUUUACCCAGAGCCGAACACANNNCNUCAUUCACUGCUGCCGUC